GAUGAAGAACGCAGCGAAAUGCGAUACGUAAUGUGAAUUGCAGAAUUCAGUGAAUCAUCGAGUCUUUGAACGCACAUUGCGCCCCCUGGUAUUCCGGGGGGCAUGCCUGUCCGAGCGUCAUUGCUGCCCUCAAGCACGGCUUGUGUGUUGGGCCCCCGCCCCCCGGUUCCCGGGGGGCGGGCCCGAAAGGCAGCGGCGGCACCGCGUCCGGUCCUCGAGCGUAUGGGGCUUCGUCACCCGCUCCGUAGGCCCGGCCGGCGCCCGCCGGCGACCCCCCCUCUAUCUUUCCAGGUUGACCUCGGAUCAGGUAGGGAUACCCGCUGAACUUAAGCAUAUCAAUAAGCGGAGGA
Molecule: unclassified non-coding RNA, 350 nt
Filed under: soil metagenome
Description: partial contains 5.8S ribosomal RNA, internal transcribed spacer 2, and large subunit ribosomal RNA
Rfam family: 5.8S ribosomal RNA (bases 1-120)
Source: RNAcentral